CAUCAUCACAUCAUCACCAUCACAGCCAUGUGUGCAAGGAGCGGCGUCGGGCGAAACACGCGGGCCCAGCAGGCGCGGCAGGUCCGAGCCAGCUCCGUGGUCAGGGGUCCGCCGCUGGUCCGAGGAGCUCCCGCCGGAACCGCCGGAGCUCGUCCUCGAGAGGGCGCCCUCCCCCGAGGGCGCCCGAGCCGGAGGGGGGGCCCACCAUCCAGGGGGAGUUCACCAUCGAGAGGCAGCCCCCCGACAUCGAGGCCCUCGAUCUGGCGCAAGGCGACGCCCUCCAGGCGCAGCACCCGUUAUACAUAGAGGUGGAGAUCGAGGGUAAGGAGCGCGACGCGGAGGUGGUGGAGGAGCCGGAGAUCGUGAUCUUGCCGGAGCGUCGUAGGCGGCGGCGGAGGCGGAGGAGGAGGCGGAGGGUGGAACGAGAGAGGGGCCCGAGCAAGAUCGACCCCGAGGACCUACCAAACGCGCCCGCUGGACCAUCAUCAUCACCGCCGGUCUCCUCCUCAUGACCUGCAUGCUCCUCGUCGGCAUCACCCUCAGGAUGGCCCCUAUCAUCGAUCAAAUCGGUAAGGACAGCACUAGAGUCCCUUUGACUAUAUAUAUAUAUAUAUAUAUAUAUAUAUAUUAUAUAUAUAUAUAUAUAUAUAUAAUAUAUAUAUAUAUAUAUAUAUAUACCCAGAGUUAAGACAUCUCGAUUAUCAGCUGGCUAGCAGCCGGCCUGGGCUGGCCAUGGAGGCACAAAAGAGUGCACUCAAACGAACGAUCUUGAGGGACAAGGAUAAGAAAUCCUCCGAUGUCUGUCAUCCAAAAACACAACAACAUCAACGAACUGAUCAAAACCUAACCCGAAAAAUUGCAAUAAAAUAAAAUCAUAUUGAUUUGUGGAUAAUUUCUUAAUCUAUUUUCACUUUGGUGCAAUGAAAAUAACAAUUUACUCUUGAUAAACCACAAUUAGGUUAUAUUUUCAUUAGUUUUGUUUACAUUCGAGGCACCGCGCCAUCUUGGUGCACUCAUUUGUGGCUCCAUGAGCGAGGUCUAAUCGGAAUUGGAUUUUUUUAGGCCACUUUCAGCCCAACCGAGCUCGACCACAAAUGGGAUGUCGUAACUCUGGGUAUAAAGGGACUCUAGACAGCACCAGUACUCUGCCGUGCUAAGGAAAAACGCCGCAUGCACCUGCAGGCGUUGCCAAAUUACAUACUUAGAAGCCGCUUUUACAGCACUCUGCGACUCCCAGCCGCCAAAGUCUCUUAUCCUUCAGGGAGUUGGUACUCCCUCAUUUCCUCUAGAACCCCUGUUGCCAAAUUUCCUUUAAUAAAACACGACUUUACCGGUAAACGUGUGAAUAUUUUUCCUCCAAUUUUUCAGAUAGUUUUGUUCGCACUUUCACCCAAAGUUCCUGAAAUUUUCAGGGGGAAAUAUUCAUAAAUUUCCUCGAAAAGAAACAUUUCAGUGAAGGAAAUUUGGCAACUCUCGAAUGUUCAUACGGCGUUCUUCCUGCUUAGCACAGCAGACUGUAGAAGGAACACCUUCCCCUCCCCCAGUGAAGCGCAAAAAGGCAAAUUUUGCGAGUGGAUUGUACCGAAGUUUUU
Molecule: long non-coding RNA, 1592 nt
Filed under: Bemisia tabaci
Lineage: Eukaryota; Metazoa; Arthropoda; Insecta; Hemiptera; Aleyrodidae
Description: lncRNA ENSSWEETPG009854
Source: RNAcentral